CCGUCACUCCCUUCCGGAGAGAUUCUCGAUUCCUCGGCGAGAACACCGACACGAUCUGGUGAAUCGAAACCGAUCCCGCAUCAGAUCUAAUCGAGAGAAAAAUUUUGAAUUCUCUUUCCGAAUUCUCUUUCCGAAUGCACGGUGACAUUGGAACGAAGGAGGGGUUUCCUCUGAUUGGCUCGUUUUAGGGUUCCUGCGCAAGAAGAAGAAACGAAAUAUGGACGCGGAGCGAUCGUCGUUGUGCAACUUUGUUGUGAACUUCCUGAUGGAGGAGAACUACCUCUUGACGGCGUUUGAGCUUCUUCACGAGCUCCUCGACGAUGGCCGCGAUGCCCAAGCUAUUCGUCUUAAGGAGUUCUUCUCUGAUCCUUCCCGUUUCCCUCCCGAUCAGAUUUCUCGGUAUAAUUCGAUUCGAGGUUCGCCAAUUCUUCGCCUCGCGUUUGUAAUGUGUACUCGCUGUUGCGGACCCACAAAGUUUGUUGGAGGAGAAAGAAGCGUUAUCGGAGAAGCUAGCUAUCAGUGAAUAUGAAUUUCGUCUAGCACAGGAGGAUAUUACAAGGUUGAAAACUGAAGGACAGAAGAAAUCUGAUUGUUCGGUUGACAAUUUAAAAGAUGAGUUUGGAGACAACAGGCCAGAAAUUCAACGGAAAAAGAAAGAUUUUUUCCUUCACUGAUAUAGGACCUUUGAAGAACAAUGAAUGUCGAGACUUAAACUGUGCAGUUAAAGAAUAUCUUCUUCUAGCAGGUUACAGACUUACCGCAAUGACAUUUUACGAGGAGGUAUCGUAAUCUUAUGUCAACAUGUUUACACCUUUUUGUGCUUACUGAGAUCUCCCUUGUCUAAACUUAUUGUAUCUUGUUCUUAUCUUUGUUUCGGCCCGAUUGACGCAAACACCAUUUUGGAACCUUGAUUAGCCUUUUAUGUUUUUGCCUGUGGCUCACUGCCACUCCCCACCUUGAAUUUUUUAUUUAAAUGAG
Molecule: RNA transcript, 978 nt
Organism: Eutrema salsugineum
Lineage: Eukaryota; Viridiplantae; Streptophyta; Magnoliopsida; Brassicales; Brassicaceae
Exons: 3
Source: RefSeq, a predicted model, not a curated record